RNAcentral lists this long non-coding RNA (208 nucleotides) under Elaeis guineensis (African oil palm). Its description in RNAcentral is "long non-coding RNA (EGUI_LNC066690)". The record is from RNAcentral. Lineage: Eukaryota; Viridiplantae; Streptophyta; Magnoliopsida; Arecales; Arecaceae.
UUCGUGCAAGAAAAAGUCAAGCUUGCUUAGGUGCUCGAUUUGUUCAAUCAUGUACAAUACAUGAUCGAUGACCGACACCCCUUCUCUCAUCUGAGCAUUAAAGAUAGAAUAAUAAAUCUUAUGCCGCUCAACGUCAUCGAGAGUACCGAAGGAUUCAUUCAACACUUGCAAUAUUUUCUCUAGCUAAGCAUCCUUGAAAUUGUGGCUG